GUAACACGUGGGAAUUUAUCCGGAAGUGGGGGAUAGCUUGCCGAAAGGCAAAUUAAUACCGCAUAUGCCCGUAAGGGCAAAGUGGGGGACCGCAAGGCCUCACGCUAUCGGAGGAGCCCGCGCCCUAUCAGCUAGUUGGUGAGGUAAUGGCUCACCAAGGCUUAGACGGGUAGCUGGUCUGAGAGGACGACCAGCCACACUGGAACUGAGACACGGUCCAGACACCUACGGGUGGCAGCAGUCGAGGAUUUUUCUCAAUGGGGGCAACCCUGAAGGAGCGACGCCGCGUGGAGGAUGAAGGGCUUCGGCUCGUAAACUCCUGUCACCGACGAACAAGGCAUCCGGAUUAAUAAAUCGGAUGCUUGAUGGUAGUCGGAGAGGAAGGGGCGGCUAACUCUGUGCCAGCAGCCGCGGUGAUACAGAGGCCCCAAGCGUUGUUCGGAUUUACUGGGCGUAAAGGGUGUGUAGGGGGUCGGGUAAGUUUGACGUGAAAUCCCGUUGCUCAACAACGGAACUGCGUCGAAUACUGCUCGGCUGGAGGUUCGGAGAUGAGGGCGGAAUUCUCGGUGUAGCGGUGAAUGCGUAGAUAUCGAGAGGAACGCCGACGGCGAAAGCAGCCCUCAAGACGAAAUCUGACCCUGAAACA
RNAcentral lists this ribosomal RNA (646 nucleotides) under uncultured bacterium. RNAcentral's name for it is "bacterial SSU rRNA". It matches the Rfam family "Bacterial small subunit ribosomal RNA", at positions 110 to 753 of the family's 1533-position model. The record is from RNAcentral.